This 406-nucleotide ribosomal RNA is filed under the name uncultured bacterium. Its description in RNAcentral is "partial 16S ribosomal RNA". It matches the Rfam family "Bacterial small subunit ribosomal RNA", at positions 30 to 526 of the family's 1533-position model. The record is from RNAcentral.
AUUGAACGCUGGCGGCAGGCCUAACACAUGCAAGUCGAACGAGUGGCGGACGGGUGAGUAAUGUCUGGGAAACUGCCCGAUGGAGGGGGAUAACUACUGGAAACGGUAGCUAAUACCGCAUACCAUCGGAUGUGCCCCGUUGGGAUUAGCUAGUAGGGGGUGUAACGGCUCACCUAGGCGACGAACCCUAGCUGGUCUGAGAGGAUGACACGCCACAUUGGAACUGAGACACGGUCCAGACUCCUACGGGAGGCAGCAGUGGGGAAUAUUGCACAAUGGGCGCAAGCCUGAUGCAGUCAUGCCGCGUGUAUGAAGAAGUCCGUCGGGUUGUAAAGUACUGUCAGCGAGGAGGCGUUACCCGCAGAAGAAGCACCGGCUAACUCCGUGCCAGCAGCCGCGGUAAUUC